Molecule: long non-coding RNA, 146 nt
Organism: Phyllostomus discolor (pale spear-nosed bat)
Lineage: Eukaryota; Metazoa; Chordata; Mammalia; Chiroptera; Phyllostomidae
Exons: 3
Source: RefSeq, a predicted model, not a curated record
CAAGAACUCUGGCAGAGAUGUACAAUAAGGUGAAUGUUGGUUUAAUGUCUGCUAACACAACAUCCAUUCUGCAGCCCACGAAUCAAGGACUAAUUUGGACUUUCAAGUCCUGCUACUUAAGAAAUACAUUUUGUAAGGCUAUAGCU